AAAUAACAGCCCUAACAGGUUUAAGCCUCAAAUCACAGCCCCCUCAGUGCAUUCCUUGGGUCAUAUUAGCUGUGGUGUUUAAAAUGUCCUCUGAGUAGAGACAAGCACUGCUAACAAUAGGCCAACUCUGAGAAGCAAUAUAUGGCAGGAGAUGUGUCUUCACAAUAGACCUGUGAGAUAGGAGGACAUCAAUGAACCCAUUUCCAGACGGAUGCUGACAGAGGAGCUGCCCUGCUGAUGAUGGGAGGGCUGUGGCUGCCAGUCUGCACAUCUCCUGCUGACUACAGUUCCACCUGCAAGUGGACACAGGUGCUCUGUCCUGGUUUGAAGGAUGAGAGACACUCAUCGCAUAUGGAGGAACAUAAGAAACACAGAAUUAUCGUUCAUCAGCAUCAAAAUGAUCAAGCAGCCACAGCUGUUGAUUGAAGACCUACACGUAACUUCUCCAGAAUGCUGGUUUCAGGAAAGUUGGAUUUCUUGCAUGAUGGCCACCUUCUACCUUACACCUUACUAGCAGAUUUUAUUUUCACAAGAGACAGGCAGAGGGAGAAGCAGACUCCCCUGGAGGAGCCU
Molecule: long non-coding RNA, 573 nt
Organism: Canis lupus familiaris (dog)
Lineage: Eukaryota; Metazoa; Chordata; Mammalia; Carnivora; Canidae
Exons: 6
Source: RefSeq, a predicted model, not a curated record